RNAcentral lists this long non-coding RNA (1071 nucleotides) under Anser cygnoides (Swan goose). RNAcentral's name for it is "lncRNA (ENSACDG00005011530.1)". Lineage: Eukaryota; Metazoa; Chordata; Aves; Anseriformes; Anatidae. The record is from RNAcentral.
AUGCUGCAACGCCUCUCUGGCGAGAAAGCGAAUUAUGCAGGCUGGCUUUGCUUUGAAAAGCUUGUGAUGUGUAAGCAGAGGAGGAAGACGAGGGUAUCUGUGCGCUUGCAGGCUGGCUUUGGUCCAGCCACGCAAGGGAAGGCACUUCUGCACGCCUCAGCACGGCGCCGUGCCGUGGAGCUGGCGAUGCGGGGUGGGUGCGGGCUGUGCGGGGGGCUGUGGGGGCACGGCUCUCCCCCCCCCGGGCAUGCAGUGCUCUGCCAGCAGUGUGUUCUCUGGGAAAAAAACCCCGCUUACGCCUGGUCUCCCCCCUGCUUGCCCUGCUGUCCUGUGCCACAACAACACGCAGCGUUUCUGCUUGCUUCUCUGCAGCUGUUGGCAGCCCCUGGAAAAGCCUCCUGGCCAAUUUUUUGGCCACCGCACUCGCGGUCUGCUCCUCUGGUAGGGGGGCUGUGGGGGGGCAGUGAUGUGUGGGGUGUGCAGGCAGGGUCCUGCUGCCCACGCCAUGGCCGGUGCAGGCAGCCCGCAGCACCAGCCCUGCCAGGGCUGCGGCUGCAAAGGGCUGGGCCUGGGAGUUGCAGCUGCAGAUGCCCGGGGCCGGGUGGUGAGGCUGCAGCUGAGCCCCAGCACCUGAUACCGGCACCGGGGGGUGUCGGUGGUGGGCUCAGAGCUGUUUCCUUCCCCCUCCUCUGUACCCGCUUCUGCCCCGCUCCCCUCUCCGCAGGCUGGGCGCGCUGCCUGUCCCCAGGGACCCCCGCUGCCAGGCCAACAGGGGACCCGAGCUGCCGUGCGGGACGCGUGCGCUGGCAGCUCCGUUUGGCCCUCCAGCUGCCUGCCGAAUCCUCUGCUUUCUGGCGGGAGCUCUGCACGCUGCAGCCUGGCUCCCUGAGCCUGGCGGUCGCCUCUUGCAGACAAAAUGCUGUCUGUGUGCUGGCAGGGAGGCGGUGGCAGGCCAGACCCAGCGCAUGGUGCGUGUCCCCUCGCGCUGCGCCUGCCUGGGGCGCGCGGCCGCAGGUGCUUUUCCGUGGCUGUCUGAAGGGCUGCGGUGGUUUUAAUAUCUCUGCCGAGUGA